This 119-nucleotide ribosomal RNA is filed under the name Gossypium raimondii (Peruvian cotton). Lineage: Eukaryota; Viridiplantae; Streptophyta; Magnoliopsida; Malvales; Malvaceae. The record is from RNAcentral.
GGGUGCGAUCAUACUAGCACUAAUGCAUCGGAUCCCAUCAGAACUCCACAGUUAAGUGCGUUUGGGCGAGAGUAGUACGAGGAUGGGUGACCUCCUGGGAAGUCCUCGCGUGGAACCCU